RNAcentral lists this ribosomal RNA (279 nucleotides) under uncultured bacterium. RNAcentral's name for it is "partial 16S ribosomal RNA". It matches the Rfam family "Bacterial small subunit ribosomal RNA", at positions 506 to 784 of the family's 1533-position model. The record is from RNAcentral.
UGCCAGCCGCCGCGGUAAUACGGAGGGUGCAAACGUUGCUCGGAAUCAUUGGGCGUAGAGCGCGUGUAGGCGGUAUCAUAAGUCGAUUGUGAAAGUCCGGAGCUUAACUCCGGAAGUGCGGUCGAAACUGUGGAACUUGAGUAUUGGAGAGGUAAGCGGAAUUCUCGGUGUAGAGGUGAAAUUCGUAGAUAUCGAGAGGAACACCAGUGGCGAAGGCGGCUUACUGGACAAAUACUGACGCUGAGACGCGAAAGUGUGGGUAGCAAACAGGAUUAGAUA